Molecule: ribosomal RNA, 460 nt
Filed under: uncultured bacterium
Lineage: Bacteria
Description: partial 16S ribosomal RNA
Rfam family: Bacterial small subunit ribosomal RNA
Source: RNAcentral
CCUACGGGUGGCAGCAGUGAGGAAUAUUGGUCAAUGGACGAGAGUCUGAACCAGCCAAGUAGCGUGAAGGAUGACUGCCCUACGGGUUGUAAACUUCUUUUAUAAAGGAAUAAAACGAGGCUCGGGUGCUUCUGUGCAUGUACUUUAUGAAUAAGGAUCGGCUAACUCCGUGCCAGCAGCCGCGGUAAUACGGAGGAUCCGAGCGUUAUCCGGAUUUAUUGGGUUUAAAGGGAGCGUAGAUGGGUUGUUAAGUCAGUUGUGAAAGUUUGCGGCUCAACCGUAAAAUUGCAAUUGAUACUGGCAGUCUUGAGUACAGUAGGGGUAGGCGGAAUGCGUGGUGUAGCGGUGAAAUGCUUAGAUAUCACGCAGAACCCCGAUUGCGAAGGCAGCUUACUAACCUGUAACUGACAUUGAUGCUCGAAAGUGUGGGUAUCAAACAGGAUUAGAUACCCCUGUAGUC